GACGAACGCUGGCGGCGUGCCUAAUACAUGCAAGUAGAACGCUGAAGAGAGGAGCUUGCUCUUCUUGGCUGAGUUGCGAACGGGUGAGUAACGCGUAGGUAACCUGCCUUGUAGCGGGGGAUAACUAUUGGAAACGAUAGCUAAUACCGCAUAACAAUGGAUGACACAUGUCAUUUAUUUGAAAGGGGCAAUUGCUCCACUACAAGAUGGACCUGCGUUGUAUUAGCUAGUAGGUGAGGUAAUGGCUCACCUAGGCGACGAUACAUAGCCGACCUGAGAGGGUGAUCGGCCACACUGGGACUGAGACACGGCCCAGACUCCUACGGGAGGCAGCAGUAGGGAAUCUUCGGCAAUGGGGGCAACCCUGACCGAGCAACGCCGCGUGAGUGAAGAAGGUUUUCGGAUCGUAAAGCUCUGUUGUAAGUCAAGAACGGGUGUGAGAGUGGAAAGUUCACACUGUGACGGUAGCUUACCAGAAGGGGACGGCUAACUACGUG
This 497-nucleotide ribosomal RNA is filed under the name uncultured bacterium. RNAcentral describes it as "partial 16S ribosomal RNA". It matches the Rfam family "Bacterial small subunit ribosomal RNA", at positions 28 to 507 of the family's 1533-position model. The record is from RNAcentral.